AGCAGCCGCGGUAAUUCCAGCUCCAAUAGCGUAUAUUAAAGUUGUUGCAGUUAAAAAGCUCGUAGUUGAAUUUCGGGGUCAGCAGGUCGGUCGUGCCAACGGUAUGCACUGGCCUUGCUGAUUCCUCCCUCCUGAUGAACCGUAAUGCCAUUAAUUUGGUGUUGCGGGGAAACUGGACUGUUACUUUGAAAAAAUUAGAGUGUUUAAAGCAGGCUAACGCUUGAAUACAUUAGCAUGGAAUAAUGAAAUAGGACGUUCGAUCUUAUUUUGUUGGUUUCUAGGAUUGACGUAAUGAUUAAUAGGGAUAGUUGGGGGCAUUAGUAUUCAAUUGUCAGAGGUGAAAUUCUUGGAUUUAUUGAAGACUAACUACUGCGAAAGCAUUUGCCAAGGAUGUUUUCAUUAAUCAAGAACGAAAGUUAGGGGAUCGAAGACGAUCAGAUACCGUCGUAGUCUUAACCAUAAACUAUGCCGACUAGGGAUCGGAUGAUGUUAAUUUUUUAAUGACUCA
RNAcentral lists this ribosomal RNA (508 nucleotides) under uncultured Sclerocystis. RNAcentral describes it as "SSU rRNA". It matches the Rfam family "Eukaryotic small subunit ribosomal RNA", at positions 569 to 1078 of the family's 1831-position model. Lineage: Eukaryota; Fungi; Glomeromycota; Glomeromycetes; Glomerales; Glomeraceae. The record is from RNAcentral.